GAUGAACGCUGGCGGCGUGCCUAAUACAUGCAAGUCGAGCGAACGGACGAGAAGCUUGCUUCUCUGAUGUUAGCGGCGGACGGGUGAGUAACACGUGGAUAACCUACCUAUAAGACUGGGAUAACUUCGGGAAACCGGAGCUAAUACCGGAUGAUAUUUUGAACCGCAUGGUUCAAAAGUGAAAGACGGUCUUGCUGUCACUUAUAGAUGGAUCCGCGCUGCAUUAGCUAGUUGGUAAGGUAACGGCUUACCAAGGCAACGAUGCAUAGCCGACCUGAGAGGGUGAUCGGCCACACUGGAACUGAGACACGGUCCAGACUCCUACGGGAGGCGGCAGUAGGGAAUCUUCCGCGAUGGGCGAAAGCCUGACGGAGCAACGCCGCGUGAGUGAUGAAGGUCUUCGGAUCGUAAAACUCUGUUAUUAGGGAAGAACAUAUGUGUAAGUAACUGUGCACAUCUUGACGGUACCUAAUCAGAAAGCCACGGCUAACUACGUG
This 497-nucleotide ribosomal RNA is filed under the name uncultured bacterium. RNAcentral describes it as "partial 16S ribosomal RNA". It matches the Rfam family "Bacterial small subunit ribosomal RNA", at positions 28 to 507 of the family's 1533-position model. The record is from RNAcentral.